Cinara cedri is the source of this 293-nucleotide non-coding RNA. The record is from the annotation of a GenBank genome assembly. Lineage: Eukaryota; Metazoa; Arthropoda; Insecta; Hemiptera; Aphididae.
CACAAUAUAAUUCAAUAGACUUUAAAUUAACAUCCUACAAGGCUAGCUCUGUUUAUACGAAGCUAAAAUUACUAGUUUUCUGGCUUACUAGUAUUACCUUGCUAUUUUAACUUGAAAAACUAGCCUCGUGUAUUCCGGGCUUACAUUUUGACUGUGAUAUACCUGAUGAUGAAAUUUUAAUUCGAAGCUGGUUGUAUAAUAACCUUAUCAUAAUACUCCAGGCAAUUUAUUUAUAUAUUUAUUUACGAGUAUUAACCAUUUUAAUAAGUUUUGUUUUUACUUUAUUAUUUUAU